This 253-nucleotide ribosomal RNA is filed under the name uncultured bacterium. RNAcentral describes it as "partial 16S ribosomal RNA". It matches the Rfam family "Bacterial small subunit ribosomal RNA", at positions 524 to 776 of the family's 1533-position model. The record is from RNAcentral.
UACGGGGGGGGCAAGCGUUGUUCGGAAUUACUGGGCGUAAAGGGCUCGUAGGCGGCCAACUAAGUCAGACGUGAAAUCCCCAGGCUCAACCUGGGAACUGCGUCUGAUACUGGAUGGCUUGAAUCCGGGAGAGGGAUGCAGAAUUCCAGGUGUAGCGGUGAAAUGCGUAGAUAUCUGGAGGAACACCGGUGGCGAAGGCGGCAUCCUGGACCGACACUGACGCUGAUGCGCGAAAGCUAGGGGAGCAAACGGG